CGAGCAAGGUAUCCACACAGAAGCUGACGAUACUCAGAGGAGAUAUUCUGGUGUUGAGAUUAAACCUGGAGAAGCCUCAGGUGGCUAGUUUUUGCUGAAUUCGUGGCAGAACGCUAACAUGGGAUGGACAAUCUAACCGGCACCAAGAUUGUCAGAGCGGGGGCAGGUGGAGGGGCAGGAGGGACUGGCAAAGUUGUGACAGAAACCGUCACCUCGACAACCAGACUGACCUCACUGCCUCCAAAGGGCGCCAGUAGUUCUGUGAUCAGCAAGACUGUGUCCUCCUCCAGCGGCUCGGCAAGUGACGCUGUGGAGAGGAGAGUUACUACCCAGAGCGGCAGCAGCAGCUAUGCCAUUACAUCCUCAAGUGGUGUCUACAUAAGUGGUGGUUCUUCAGAAGGAGAACCUGUUGGAGGAGAAGGAGGAGGGUCAAAGGUAGUCGAGGGAGGAGGAGUAGG
Long non-coding RNA from Osmerus eperlanus (European smelt), 458 nucleotides. RefSeq lists it as uncharacterized. The record is from RefSeq and is a predicted model, not a curated record. Lineage: Eukaryota; Metazoa; Chordata; Actinopteri; Osmeriformes; Osmeridae. The transcript has 5 exons.